RNAcentral lists this unclassified non-coding RNA (596 nucleotides) under uncultured marine bacterium. RNAcentral describes it as "partial contains 16S ribosomal RNA, 16S-23S ribosomal RNA intergenic spacer, and 23S ribosomal RNA". The stretch from base 484 to 596 matches the Rfam family "Bacterial large subunit ribosomal RNA", at positions 1 to 113 of the family's 2925-position model. The record is from RNAcentral.
ACCCUUGACCACGGUAUAGUCAGCGACUGGGGUGAAGUCGUAACAAGGUAGCCGUAGGGGAACCUGCGGCUGGAUUACCUCCUUUCUAAGGAUGAAUGAAAGUAAAAUUUCAUUCUAAAUAAUAUACAUCGGUAAUGUUGACCGUCCUCAUUUCUCUUCUUAAAGUAGUGUUUCUCUUGCAUAGGGGCCGGUAGCUCAGUUGGUUAGAGCACACCCUUGAUAAGGGUGGGGUCGAAAGUUCGAGUCUUUCUCGGCCCACCAAUAUAAGAUCAUGGGGGAUUAGCUCAGCUGGGAGAGCGCCUGAUUUGCAUUCAGGAGGUCAGCGGUUCGAUCCCGCUAUCCUCCACCAAAAACACUUAGUUAUAAAAACCGUAAAUAAAUUUAAUAAUUAAUAUCAAUAUCUAUAUCCGAACAUUAGUAAUGUUAUUAGCUAAUGUUCAAAAAUAAAAAUUUGAUUCAACACAGAAUUUUUUUCUGUGCAUAAAUCAAGCGUUUAAGGGCGUGUAGUGGAUGCCUUGGCACUGAAAGCCGAUGAAGGACGUGAUAUACUGCGAUAAGUUUCGGGGAGCUGUAUGUAAGUUUUGAUCCGAAAAUUU